UAACCGGCGAUUUCCGAAUGGGGAAACCCAGUGUGAUUCGUCACACUAUCAUUAACUGAAUCCAUAGGUUAAUGAGGCGAACCGGGGGAACUGAAACAUCUAAGUACCCCGAGGAAAAGAAAUCAACCGAGAUUCCCCCAGUAGCGGCGAGCGAACGGGGAGCAGCCCAGAGCCUGAAUCAGUGUGUGUGUUAGUGGAAGCGUCUGGAAAGGCGCGCGAUACAGGGUGACAGCCCCGUACACAAAAAUGCACAUAUUGUGAGCUCGAUGAGUAGGGCGGGACACGUGGUAUCCUGUCUGAAUAUGGGGGGCCCAUCCUCCAAGGCUAAAUACUCCUGACUGACCGAUAGUGAACCAGUACCGUGAGGGAAAGGCGAAAAGAACCCCGGCGAGGGGAGUGAAAAAGAACCUGAAACCGUGUACGUACAAGCAGUGGGAGCACGCUUAGGCGUGUGACUGCGUACCUUUUGUAUAAUGGGUCAGCGACUUAUAUUCUGUAGCAAGGUUAACCGAAUAGGGGAGCCGAAGGGAAACCGAGUCUUAACUGGGCGUUAAGUUGCAGGGUAUAGACCCGAAACCCGGUGAUCUAGCCAUGGGCAGGUUGAAGGUUGGGUAACACUAACUGGAGGACCGAACCGACUAAUGUUGAAAAAUUAGCGGAUGACUUGUGGCUGGGGGUGAAAGGCCAAUCAAACCGGGAGAUAGCUGGUUCUCCCCGAAAGCUAUUUAGGUAGCGCCUCGUGAAUUCAUCUCCGGGGGUAGAGCACUGUUUCGGCAAGGGGGUCAUCCCGACUUACCAACCCGAUGCAAACUGCGAAUACCGGAGAAUGUUAUCACGGGAGACACACGGCGGGU
Molecule: ribosomal RNA, 854 nt
Filed under: Shigella sonnei
Lineage: Bacteria; Pseudomonadati; Pseudomonadota; Gammaproteobacteria; Enterobacterales; Enterobacteriaceae
Description: partial 23S ribosomal RNA
Rfam family: Bacterial large subunit ribosomal RNA
Source: RNAcentral